This 292-nucleotide ribosomal RNA is filed under the name uncultured bacterium. RNAcentral's name for it is "partial 16S ribosomal RNA". It matches the Rfam family "Bacterial small subunit ribosomal RNA", at positions 505 to 796 of the family's 1533-position model. The record is from RNAcentral.
GUGCCAGCAGCCGCGGUAAGACAGAGGUGGCAAGCGUUGUCCGGAAUUACUGGGCGUAAAGAGCGCGUAGGUGGCUAGAUAAGUCCGGUGUGAAAUCCUUCGGCUUAACCGGGGAAUGGCAUCGGGGACUGUUUAGCUAGAGGACGGGAGAGGAGAGCGGAAUUCCCGGUGUAGCGGUGAAAUGCGUAGAGAUCGGGAGGAAGGCCGGUGGCGAAGGCGGCUCUCUGGAACGUCCCUGACGCUGAGGCGCGAAAGCGUGGGGAGCAAACAGGAUUAGAAACCCCCGUAGUCC